Molecule: ribosomal RNA, 257 nt
Filed under: uncultured bacterium
Lineage: Bacteria
Description: partial 16S ribosomal RNA
Rfam family: Bacterial small subunit ribosomal RNA
Source: RNAcentral
UACGGAGGGGGCUAGCGUUGUUCGGAAUUACUGGGCGUAAAGCGCACGUAGGCGGCUUUGCAAGUUAGAGGUGAAAGCCCGGGGCCUCAACUCCGGUAAUUGCCUUUAAAACUGCAUCGCUAGAAUUGUGGAGAGGUAAGUGGAAUUCCGAGUGUAGAGGUGAAAUUCGAUUAGAUAUUCGGAAGAACACCAGUGGCGAAGGCGACUUACUGGACACAUAUUGACGCUGAGGUGCGAAAGCGUGGGGAGCAAACAGG